RNAcentral lists this ribosomal RNA (637 nucleotides) under uncultured bacterium. RNAcentral describes it as "bacterial SSU rRNA". It matches the Rfam family "Bacterial small subunit ribosomal RNA", at positions 202 to 842 of the family's 1533-position model. The record is from RNAcentral.
UAAAGAUUCAUCGCUGAUAGAUAGGCAUGCGUUCCAUUAGGCAGUUGGCGGGGUAACGGCCCACCAAACCGACGAUGGAUAGGGGUUCUGAGAGGAAGGUCCCCCACAUUGGUACUGAGACACGGACCAAACUCCUACGGGAGGCAGCAGUGAGGAAUAUUGGUCAAUGGGCGCGAGCCUGAACCAGCCAAGUCGCGUGAGGGAUGAAGGUUCUAUGGAUCGUAAACCUCUUUUAUAAGGGAAUAAAGUGUGGGACGUGUCCUAUUUUGUAUGUACCUUAUGAAUAAGGAUCGGCUAACUCCGUGCCAGCAGCCGCGGUAAUACGGAGGAUCCGAGCGUUAUCCGGAUUUAUUGGGUUUAAAGGGUGCGUAGGCGGCCUUUUAAGUCAGCGGUGAAAGUCUGUGGCUCAACCAUAGAAUUGCCGUUGAAACUGGGGGGCUUGAGUAUGUUUGAGGCAGGCGGAAUGCGUGGUGUAGCGGUGAAAUGCUUAGAUAUCACGCAGAACCCCGAUUGCGAAGGCAGCCUGCCAAGCCAUGACUGACGCUGAUGCACGAAAGCGUGGGGAUCAAACAGGAUUAGAUACCCUGGUAGUCCACGCAGUAAACGAUGAUCACUAGCUGUUUGCGAUACAGUGUAA